CAGAGCGAACGCUGGCGGCAGGCCUAACACAUGCAAGUCGAGCGCCCCGCAAGGGGAGCGGCAGACGGGAGAGUAACACGUGGGAACGUACCCUUCGGUUCGGAACAACCCAGGGAAACUUGGGCUAAUACCGGAUACGUCCGAAAGGAGAAAGAUUUAUCGCCGAGGGAUCGGCCCGCGUCUGAUUAGCUAGUUGGUGGGGUAACGGCCCACCAAGGCGACGAUCAGUAGCUGGUCUGAGAGGAUGAUCAGCCUCACUGGGACUGAGACACGGCCCAGACUCCUACGGGAGGCAGCAGUGGGGAAUAUUGGACAAUGGGCGCAAGCCCUGAUCCAGCCAUGCCGCGUGGGUGAUGAAGGCCCUAGGGUUGUAAAGCCCUUUCGGCGGGGAAGAUAAUGACGGUACCCGCAGAAGAAGCCCCGGCUAACUUCGUGCCAGCCGCCGC
RNAcentral lists this ribosomal RNA (446 nucleotides) under uncultured bacterium. RNAcentral describes it as "bacterial SSU rRNA". It matches the Rfam family "Bacterial small subunit ribosomal RNA", at positions 25 to 518 of the family's 1533-position model. The record is from RNAcentral.